RNAcentral lists this ribosomal RNA (450 nucleotides) under uncultured bacterium. RNAcentral describes it as "partial 16S ribosomal RNA". It matches the Rfam family "Bacterial small subunit ribosomal RNA", at positions 354 to 796 of the family's 1533-position model. The record is from RNAcentral.
GUGGGGAAUUUUGGACAAUGGGGGCAACCCUGAUCCAGCCAUGCCGCGUGCGGGAAGAAGGCCUUCGGGUUGUAAACCGCUUUUGUCAGGGAAGAAAUCCUUUGGGUUAAUACCUCGGAGGGAUGACGGUACCUGAAGAAUAAGCACCGGCUAACUACGUGCCAGCAGCCGCGGUAAUACGUAGGGUGCGAGCGUUAAUCGGAAUUACUGGGCGUAAAGCGUGCGCAGGCGGUUUUGUAGGAUCGAUGUGAAAUCCCCGGGCUCAACCUGGGAACUGCAUUGGUGACUGCAUUGCUGGAGUGCGGCAGAGGGGGAUGGAAUUCCGCGUGUAGCAGUGAAAUGCGUAGAUAUGCGGAGGAACACCGAUGGCGAAGGCAAUCCCCUGGGCCUGCACUGACGCUCAUGCACGAAAGCGUGGGGAGCAAACAGGAUUAGAAACCCCUGUAGUCC